Molecule: ribosomal RNA, 405 nt
Filed under: uncultured Pseudomonas sp.
Lineage: Bacteria; Pseudomonadati; Pseudomonadota; Gammaproteobacteria; Pseudomonadales; Pseudomonadaceae
Description: bacterial SSU rRNA
Rfam family: Bacterial small subunit ribosomal RNA
Source: RNAcentral
CCUUGACAUGCAGAGAACUUUCCAGAGAUGGAUUGGUUGCCUUCGGGAACGUCUGACACAGGUGCUGCAUGGCUGUCGUCAGCUCGUGUCGAGAGAUGUUGGGUUAAGUCCGUAACGAGCGCAACCCUUGUCCUUAGUUACCAGCACGUUAUGGUGGGCACUCUAAGGAGACUGCCGGUGACAAGCCGGAGGAAGGUGGGGAUGACGUCAAGUCAUCAUGGCCCUUACGGCCUGGGCUACACACGUGCUACAAUGGUCGGUACAAAGGGUUGCCAAGCCGCGAGGUGGAGCUAAUCCCAUAAAACCGAUCGUAGUCCGGAUCGCAGUCUGCAACUCGACUGCGUGAAGUCGGAAUCGCUAGUAAUCGUGAAUCAGAAUGUCACGGUGAAUACGUUCCCGGGCCUU